UGCAGUCGAGCGGAGAGAGGUAGCUUGCUACUGAUCUUAGCGGCGGACGGGUGAGUAAUGCUUAGGAAUCUGCCUAUUAGUGGGGGACAACAUUUCGAAAGGAAUGCUAAUACCGCAUACGUCCUACGGGAGAAAGCAGGGGAUCUUCGGACCUUGCGCUAAUAGAUGAGCCUAAGUCGGAUUAGCUAGUUGGUGGGGUAAAGGCCUACCAAGGCGACGAUCUGUAGCGGGUCUGAGAGGAUGAUCCGCCACACUGGGACUGAGACACGGCCCAGACUCCUACGGGAGGCAGCAGUGGGGAAUAUUGGACAAUGGGCGCAAGCCUGAUCCAGCCAUGCCGCGUGUGUGAAGAAGGCCUUAUGGUUGUAAAGCACUUUAAGCGAGGAGGAGGCUACUUUAGUUAAUACCUAGAGAUAGUGGACGUUACUCGCAGAAUAAGCACCGGCUAACUCUGUGCCAGCAGCCGCGGUAAUACAGAGGGUGCAAGCGUUAAUCGGAUUUACUGGGCGUAAAGCGCGCGUAGGCGGCUAAUUAAGUCAAAUGUGAAAUCCCCGAGCUUAACUUGGGAAUUGCAUUCGAUACUGGUUAGCUAGAGUGUGGGAGAGGAUGGUAGAAUUCCAGGUGUAGCGGUGAAAUGCGUAGAGAUCUGGAGGAAUACCGAUGGCGAAGGCAGCCAUCUGGCCUAACACUGACGCUGAGGUGCGAAAGCAUGGGGAGCAAACAGGAUUAGAUACCCUGGUAGUCCAUGCCGUAAACGAUGUCUACUAGCCGUUGGGGCCUUUGAGCUUUAGUGGCGCAGCUAACGCGAUAAGUAGACCGCCUGGGGAGUACGGUCGCAGACUAAACUCAAUGAUUGACGGGGCCCGCACAGCGGUGGAGCAUGUGGUUUAAUUCGAUGCAACGCGAAGAACCU
RNAcentral lists this ribosomal RNA (913 nucleotides) under uncultured Acinetobacter sp. Its description in RNAcentral is "bacterial SSU rRNA". It matches the Rfam family "Bacterial small subunit ribosomal RNA", at positions 56 to 971 of the family's 1533-position model. Lineage: Bacteria; Pseudomonadati; Pseudomonadota; Gammaproteobacteria; Moraxellales; Moraxellaceae. The record is from RNAcentral.